RNAcentral lists this transfer RNA (73 nucleotides) under Actinomycetota bacterium. RNAcentral describes it as "tRNA-Asn". It matches the Rfam family "tRNA". Rfam says of the family: Transfer RNA (tRNA) molecules are approximately 80 nucleotides in length. Their secondary structure includes four short double-helical elements and three loops (D, anti-codon, and T loops). Lineage: Bacteria; Bacillati; Actinomycetota. The record is from RNAcentral.
UCCCGCGUAGCUCAAUCGGCAGAGCAUCCGACUGUUAAUCGGAGGGUUGCUGGUUCAAAUCCAGCCGCGGGAG